This 462-nucleotide ribosomal RNA is filed under the name Pantoea sp. RNAcentral's name for it is "bacterial SSU rRNA". It matches the Rfam family "Bacterial small subunit ribosomal RNA", at positions 57 to 509 of the family's 1533-position model. The record is from RNAcentral. Lineage: Bacteria; Pseudomonadati; Pseudomonadota; Gammaproteobacteria; Enterobacterales; Erwiniaceae.
GCAGUCGGACGGUAGCACAGAGGAGCUUGCUCCUUGGGUGACGAGUGGCGGACGGGUGAGUAAUGUCUGGGGAUCUGCCCGAUAGAGGGGGAUAACCACUGGAAACGGUGGCUAAUACCGCAUAACGUCGCAAGACCAAAGAGGGGGACCUUCGGGCCUCUCACUAUCGGAUGAACCCAGAUGGGAUUAGCUAGUAGGCGGGGUAAUGGCCCACCUAGGCGACGAUCCCUAGCUGGUCUGAGAGGAUGACCAGCCACACUGGAACUGAGACACGGUCCAGACUCCUACGGGAGGCAGCAGUGGGGAAUAUUGCACAAUGGGCGCAAGCCUGAUGCACCCAUGCCGCGUGUAUGAAGAAGGCCUUCGGGUUGUAAAGUACUUUCAGCGGGGAGGAAGGCGAUGGGGUUAAUAACCUUAUCGAUUGACGUUACCCGCAGAAGAAGCACCGGCUAACUCCGUGCC